AUGGCCAUAUCACCUGAACACGCCCAAUCUCAUCUGAUCUCAGAAGCUAAGCAGGGUUGGGCCAGAUUAGUAGCUAAUUAUU
Molecule: ribosomal RNA, 82 nt
Filed under: Salvator merianae (Argentine black and white tegu)
Lineage: Eukaryota; Metazoa; Chordata; Lepidosauria; Squamata; Teiidae
Source: RNAcentral